AUUGAACGCUGGCGGCAGGCCUAACACAUGCAAGUCGAGCGGAUGAAGGGAGCUUGCUCCUGGAUUCAGCGGCGGACGGGUGAGUAAUGCCUAGGAAUCUGCCUGGUAGUGGGGGAUAACGUCCGGAAACGGGCGCUAAUACCGCAUACGUCCUGAGGGAGAAAGUGGGGGAUCUUCGGACCUCACGCUAUCAGAUGAGCCUAGGUCGGAUUAGCUAGUUGGUGGGGUAAAGGCCUACCAAGGCGACGAUCCGUAACUGGUCUGAGAGGAUGAUCAGUCACACUGGAACUGAGACACGGUCCAGACUCCUACGGGAGGCAGCAGUGGGGAAUAUUGGACAAUGGGCGAAAGCCUGAUCCAGCCAUGCCGCGUGUGUGAAGAAGGUCUUCGGAUUGUAAAGCACUUUUAGUUGGGAAGAAGAGCAGUAAGUUAAUACCUUGCUGUUUUGACGGUACCAACAGAAUAAGCACCGGCUAACUUCGUG
RNAcentral lists this ribosomal RNA (484 nucleotides) under uncultured bacterium. RNAcentral describes it as "partial 16S ribosomal RNA". It matches the Rfam family "Bacterial small subunit ribosomal RNA", at positions 30 to 507 of the family's 1533-position model. The record is from RNAcentral.